RNAcentral lists this ribosomal RNA (487 nucleotides) under uncultured bacterium. RNAcentral describes it as "partial 16S ribosomal RNA". It matches the Rfam family "Bacterial small subunit ribosomal RNA", at positions 899 to 1397 of the family's 1533-position model. The record is from RNAcentral.
ACUCAAAUGAAUUGACGGGAGAGCGCACAACCAGUGGAUCAUGUUGUUCAAUUCGAUACGAACCGAAGAACCUCACCCAGACUUGACAUGCAACUGCAAGCCUUAGGAAACUUUGGCCUUCUUCGAGAGUGUUGCACAGGUGUUGCAUGGCUAUCGUCAGCUCGUGCCGUAGGGUGUCCUCUUAAGUGAGGGAACGAGCGCAACCCCCAUCAUAUGUUAAAUAUUCAUAUGAGACUGCCUUGCUUAUUGGUAAGGAGGAAGGAGGGGAUGAUGUUAAGUCAGCAUGGCCCUUAUGUCUGGGGCUACAAACAUGAUACAAUGGGGAGGACAAUGGGUUGCCAAGCCGCGAGGCGGAGCUAAUCCCUUAAACCUCCUCUCAGUUGGGAUUGCAGGCUGCAACUCGCCUGCAUGAACCCGGAAUUGGUAGUAAUCGCGGGUCAGCUAUACCGCGGUGAAUACGUUCUCGCUCUUUGUACACACCGCCCGU